RNAcentral lists this ribosomal RNA (1426 nucleotides) under uncultured organism. RNAcentral's name for it is "16S ribosomal RNA". It matches the Rfam family "Bacterial small subunit ribosomal RNA". The record is from RNAcentral.
UUAACACAUGCAAGUCGAGGGGCAGCACAGGUAGCAAUACCGGGUGGCGACCGGCGCACGGGUGAGUAACGCGUAUGCAACUUGCCUAUCAGAGGGGGAUAACCCGGCGAAAGUCGGACUAAUACCGCAUGAAGCAGGGGCCCCGCAUGGGGAUAUUUGCUAAAGAUUCAUCGCUGAUAGAUAGGCAUGCGUUCCAUUAGGCAGUUGGCGGGGUAACGGCCCACCAAACCGACGAUGGAUAGGGGUUCUGAGAGGAAGGUCCCCCACAUUGGUACUGAGACACGGACCAAACUCCUACGGGAGGCAGCAGUGAGGAAUAUUGGUCAACGGCCGAGAGGCUGAACCAGCCAAGUCGCGUGAGGGAUGAAGGUUCUAUGGAUCGUAAACCUCUUUUAUAAGGGAAUAAAGUGCGGGACGUGUCCCGUUUUGUAUGUACCUUAUGAAUAAGGAUCGGCUAACUCCGUGCCAGCAGCCGCGGUAAUACGGAGGAUCCGAGCGUUAUCCGGAUUUAUUGGGUUUAAAGGGUGCGUAGGCGGCCUUUUAAGUCAGCGGUGAAAGUCUGUGGCUCAACCAUAGAAUUGCCGUUGAAACUGGGGGGCUUGAGUAUGUUUGAGGCAGGCGGAAUGCGUGGUGUAGCGGUGAAAUGCAUAGAUAUCACGCAGAACCCCGAUUGCGAAGGCAGCCUGCCAAGCCAUUACUGACGCUGAUGCACGAAAGCGUGGGGAUCAAACAGGAUUAGAUACCCUGGUAGUCCACGCAGUAAACGAUGAUCACUAGCUGUUUGCGAUACACUGUAAGCGGCACAGCGAAAGCGUUAAGUGAUCCACCUGGGGAGUACGCCGGCAACGGUGAAACUCAAAGGAAUUGACGGGGGCCCGCACAAGCGGAGGAACAUGUGGUUUAAUUCGAUGAUACGCGAGGAACCUUACCCGGGUUUGAACGCAUUCGGACCGAGGUGGAAACACCUUUUCUAGCAAUAGCCGUUUGCGAGGUGCUGCAUGGUUGUCGUCAGCUCGUGCCGUGAGGUGUCGGCUUAAGUGCCAUAACGAGCGCAACCCUUGCCACUAGUUACUAACAGGUUAGGCUGAGGACUCUGGUGGGACUGCCAGCGUAAGCUGCGAGGAAGGCGGGGAUGACGUCAAAUCAGCACGGCCCUUACAUCCGGGGCGACACACGCGUUACAAUGGCGUGGACAAAGGGAUGCCACCUGGCGACAGGGAGCGAAUCCCCAAACCACGUCUCAGUUCGGAUCGGAGUCUGCAACCCGACUCCGUGAAGCUGGAUUCGCUAGUAAUCGCGCAUCAGCCAUGGCGCGGUGAAUACGUUCCCGGGCCUUGUACACACCGCCCGUCAAGCCAUGGGAGCCGGGGGUACCUGAAGUCCGUAACCGAAAGGAUCGGCCUAGGGUAAAACUGGUGACUGGGGC